CUCGUAGGUGGUUUUGUAAGUUGGAUAUUAAAGACUCCGGCUCAACUGGAGGAAAGUAUUCAAAACUGCAAUGACUAGAGAUAUGCAGGGGAGGAUGGAACUUACGGUGUAGCAGUGAAAUGCGUAGAUAUCGUAAGGAACGCCAAUGGUGAAGACAGUUCUCUGGGCAUUAUCUGACACUGAGGAGCGAAAGCGUGGGGAGCGAACGGGAUUAGAUACCCCGGUAGUCCACGCCGUAAACGAUGCAUACUAGGAAUAUGGAGAAUCGACCCUCUGUGUUUCGAAGCUAACGCGUUAAGUAUGCCGCCUGGGUAGUACGGCCGCAAGGCUAAA
This 333-nucleotide ribosomal RNA is filed under the name uncultured bacterium. Its description in RNAcentral is "bacterial SSU rRNA". It matches the Rfam family "Bacterial small subunit ribosomal RNA", at positions 568 to 898 of the family's 1533-position model. The record is from RNAcentral.